Molecule: long non-coding RNA, 576 nt
Filed under: Lonchura striata (white-rumped munia)
Lineage: Eukaryota; Metazoa; Chordata; Aves; Passeriformes; Estrildidae
Description: domestica (Bengalese finch) lncRNA (ENSLSDG00000008613.1)
Source: RNAcentral
GACCCUGCCCUGCCCGCUCGGAUCGCGCGGGGCCGCGGCGCGGCGGGGCCCGACGACCGUGCGGCCGCCCCGGUGCCCCGCUGGAGGCCGGGAGCGGCCGGGAUCGGUCACAAACCACCUGUGUUUGAGCUAGUUCCAACAUGACUGGCAUGAGAACACCUGCCAGGAGCACGGCAGUCGUGUGCUGUGGGUAACUUCCAAGCCAGCGUUUUGCAGGGAGCUGCCACAAGAGCUGUGUGUUGUGCCAUGGCAUCAGCUAGACCCAGGUGUCAAAAGCUGAAGUGGUCUAACUCCGUGUGCCAAAGCAGAAACUGGUUCUGCCUCUGCCCUGCACUCAGCAGUCAUCCUUGCCCGUGGUGCUGUACAGAGAGCCUGGCUCAUGGAGCACAGAGAGGCUCUGCUCAUUAAACGUUGUGUCAGAUGGGGUGGCUGGAGAAGCCCAUCUCUCUCCUGCAUCCUCUCAGACCAGGUAGGAUGGGUUCCUCCUUAGGGCUUGGUGUCCCACCGUGUUCUGGGUGGUUCCCACUUGCUGUGAUGUGCUUCCUUUGGCUUCACCUCGGCACCUAAGAAUGAUGA